UCUAGCUUGAAUUGGGUCAUUCAAACUAACUUUUAAAAGUGCAUUUGAAUCUAGUUUGAUAGUUGACUUGUUUGCAAGAGUGUGAUGAAACUUGUCAUGCCUAAUAUAGAUAAUUAUUACUAACAAUAAUUAUCAUUCCUGGCUUGAAUUAGUACAACAAAAUUCUAAUAUAUAUUAAAAAGAUUGGCAUGCCACGUGGCUGCCAGGGUCCACGUGGCUGCCAGGGUCCAUAAAGGAAAAGAAAAUUAUGAGGAAGUUGAUAUCUGAACCAUCAAUCCUGCCAUUACCGACGACAGUGGUUAGAUUUAGUCGAAUGUGGCAUUUGAUGUCGGAAUAAUAAUGAAAUGGUCAGAAAUAACCCUCAACUGUAUAACUGAUCAGUGUGUGUGACAAAGAGAAAAUACACUUCCAACUUCCAAGUACAAAUCCAGCUUCUUCGUCUUUUCAUUCUGUAAGUCUCACUUAUUCAAUACCCUCUUCAUUUCAACUCUAAAGUUUGCAUCUUUUUUCUUUUUCUACUUCAUUUUUUGUUACGCUACUUAGGCAUUAUUGGAAGUGCUGUGUUCAGCAAAAUUGGAUUUUUGUUGCUUUUAAUUUCAUUUUAGCUAUAAAUUUGAUAUCCCAAGUUUAGCUUAGUUCCCAUUCAAUCCCUGAAUCUGUAACUUUCAGUUCUUCGAAUUGUUUUUGUAGGACUUUAAGACUUAGAAAGUGCUUCAUAGUGAUGAAAAUUGGAACUUUAUUGCUUGUAAUUUGUUUCUCUGUGAUAAAUAUGUCAUCGUGUCUGAUAAUGACUCCAUUUUUGGAAUUUAAUUUUGCUUUCUGUUUAGUUUUUUUUGUUGAAAAUAUACUCACUACGACUCUCCCUUUUGGGUGACCUAGGGUUUCUCAAUUUCUUGGGAACUAAUGCAAGUUGAAAUUUUAUACUUUAUGUUUCCUUUUUCCUUUCAAAUUUCUCAGCUCAAUCAUUCAUCUUCCUUGCUGGGAGAGUGCUGUUUAUCGUGUUGAAUUAUGGCUUAUAAACUGAUUUUCUUCAUGGACUUUGGCAUGACGUCAAUUUUCAAGCUUCAAUUGCAACGGGUUUUCAUGUUUUCAUGGCACAAAAUAUUUUUGGCUUUCUCAGUUUGGACAAAAAUUAAAAAAUUUAAUUUUGAUCCACCAUUAUUGGAAAGGUUGUUUUUAUUUUUUAUGAAUAAAUGAAUUUUAUAUAUUGUAGAUUAGAAAUACUGCCCUUUUUGGUAUGUAAAGUUAACAAGUUUUUUGUUAUUCUCUUUCUGCUUUGCUGUUUGACAUUCUUAUACAAAUGGAUUUUUUCUUCCCUUGAUAGGUUUGAGUUGUCCAACUGAACGAAGUCGGUGAAGGAGAAAGUGUGCAGGAAGAAGUAGUUUGUAGAUUGUCUGUAGAUAACAUCAUUAUGGGUGAGGAGGAAUCAGCAAAUGUUGUUUCCAACACUGACUCAAAUGGCAAUUGCUUGCCAGGGAACGCUUUAAAUGGCGUGACUGAGAUGAAAGACCUAGAAGGUGAUCAAGGAAAAGCCUCUGGGGACAAUGGAGUCAAAGACAUAAAAGACAAAAGUAAAGUUGAUGAUGAGGAAGAAGUAAAAGAGGACAAGAAAGUUGAUUCAGUGGAAGGAAAAGAAGAGAAUAACAAAGAUGAUAAUGCAUCUGAGAAUGAAAAGCUGAAUGAAGAAAUAGGGACGAUAGUACUAUGUUUAUGUGUUUCACCUGAGUUAAUGCAUGUAAAUAAUAAUAGAAGAUAUUAUUGCAAAGCUGAUUGAUUUUUUCGUUGUCCCUCAAGCGACAACAACUGUUCUUCU
This 1813-nucleotide long non-coding RNA is filed under the name Lupinus mutabilis. Its description in RNAcentral is "partial ncRNA". Lineage: Eukaryota; Viridiplantae; Streptophyta; Magnoliopsida; Fabales; Fabaceae. The record is from RNAcentral.